This 503-nucleotide ribosomal RNA is filed under the name uncultured bacterium. RNAcentral describes it as "partial 16S ribosomal RNA". It matches the Rfam family "Bacterial small subunit ribosomal RNA", at positions 30 to 523 of the family's 1533-position model. The record is from RNAcentral.
AUUGAACGCUGGCGGCAGGCUUAACACAUGCAAGUCGAGCGGGGUGAUGGUGCUUGCACUAUCACUUAGCGGCGGACGGGUGAGUAAUGCUUAGGAAUCUGCCUAUUAGUGGGGGACAACAUCUCGAAAGGGAUGCUAAUACCGCAUACGUCCUACGGGAGAAAGCAGGGGAUCACUUGUGACCUUGCGCUAAUAGAUGAGCCUAAGUCGGAUUAGCUAGUUGGUGGGGUAAAAGCCUACCAAGGCGACGAUCUGUAGCGGGUCUGAGAGGAUGAUCCGCCACACUGGGACUGAGACGCCGGCCAGACUCCUACGGGAAGCAGCAGUGGGGAAUAUUGGACAAUGGGGGGAACCCUGAUCCAGCCAUGCCGCGUGUGUGAAGAAGGCCUUAUGGUUGUAAAGCACUUUAAGCGAGGAGGAGGCUCUUUUGGUUAAUACCCAAGAUGAGUGGACGUUACUCGCAGAAUAAGCACCGGCUAACUCUGUGCCAGCCGCCGCGGUAA